This 329-nucleotide unclassified non-coding RNA is filed under the name soil metagenome. RNAcentral describes it as "partial contains 5.8S ribosomal RNA, internal transcribed spacer 2, and large subunit ribosomal RNA". The stretch from base 1 to 120 matches the Rfam family "5.8S ribosomal RNA", at positions 35 to 154 of the family's 154-position model. The record is from RNAcentral.
GAUGAAGAACGCAGCGAAAUGCGAUAAGUAGUGUGAAUUGCAGAAUUCAGUGAAUCAUCGAAUCUUUGAACGCACAUUGCGCUCCCUGGUAUUCCGGGGAGCAUGCCUGUUCGAGCGUCAUUACAACCCUCAAGCUCUGCUUGGUGUUGGGCCCCGCCGCCCCGGCGGGCCCUAAAAUCAGUGGCGGUGCCGUCCGGCUCCGAGCGUAGUAAUUUCUCUCGCUUUGGAGGCCCGGGCGCGUGCUUGCCAUCAACCCCCAAUUUUUUUCAGGUUGACCUCGGAUCAGGUAGGGAUACCCGCUGAACUUAAGCAUAUCAAUAAGCGGAGGA